CGUAGCGCCGAUGGUAGUGUGGGGUCUCCCCAUGUGAGAGUAGGGAAUCGCCAGGC
Molecule: ribosomal RNA, 56 nt
Filed under: Klebsiella quasipneumoniae
Lineage: Bacteria; Pseudomonadati; Pseudomonadota; Gammaproteobacteria; Enterobacterales; Enterobacteriaceae
Source: RNAcentral